AGAGUUUGAUCAUGGCUCAGAACGAACGUUAGCGGCGCGCCUAACACAUGCAAGUCGAGCGAGAAAGGGCUUCGGCCCCGGUACAGCGGCGCACGGGUGAGUAACACGUAGGUAAUCUACCCCCGAAUGGUGGAUAACCCUCCGAAAGGAGGGCUAAUACAGCAUAAGACCACGGCCUCCUCGGAGGCUGAGGCCAAAGC
Molecule: ribosomal RNA, 200 nt
Filed under: uncultured bacterium
Lineage: Bacteria
Description: partial 16S ribosomal RNA
Rfam family: Bacterial small subunit ribosomal RNA
Source: RNAcentral